Molecule: ribosomal RNA, 777 nt
Filed under: uncultured bacterium
Lineage: Bacteria
Description: bacterial SSU rRNA
Rfam family: Bacterial small subunit ribosomal RNA
Source: RNAcentral
AGAGUUUGAUCCUGGCUCAGGACGAACGCUGGCGGCAUGCCUAAUACAUGCAAGUCGAACGAUGACGUUCAUCUAGUUUACUAGAUGAACUGAUUAGUGGCGAACGGGUGAGUAACACGUGGGGAAUCUGCCCAUGAGUGGGGGAUAACAUUCGGAAACGAAUGCUAAUACCGCAUAUAUCUUUAGACCGCAUGGUCUUUAAAAGAAAGACGGCUUCGGCUGUCGCUCAUGGAUGAUCCCGCGGCGUAUUAGUUAGUUGGUGGGGUAAAGGCCUACCAAGACAAUGAUACGUAGCCGACCUGAGAGGGUGAUCGGCCACACUGGGACUGAGACACGGCCCACACUCCUACGGGAGGCAGCAGUAGGGAAUCUUCCACAAUGGGUGCAAACCUGAUGGAGCAAUGCCGCGUGAAUGAAGAAGGUCUUCGGAUCGUAAAGUUCUGUUAUUAGAGAAGAACAAGUCAAGGAGUAACUGUCUUGACUUUGACGGUACCUAACCAGAAAGUCACGGCUAACUACGUGCCAGCAGCCGCGGUAAUACGUAGGUGACAAGCGUUGUCUGGAAUUAUUGGGCGUAAAGGGAGCGCAGGCGGUUGGAAUAGUCUGAUGUGAAAGCCCACGGCUUAACCGUGGAAGGUCAUUGGAAACUGUCCAACUUGAAUACAGAAGAGGUAAGUGGAAUUCCAAGUGUAGCGGUGAAAUGCGUAAAUAUUUGGAGGAACCCCGGUGGCGAAGGCAACUUACUGGUUCUGUAAUUUGACGCUGAAGGCUCAAAAG